GUUCAGCCUUAGAAUCGAUCCGUGAGCUGGGUUAAUAGCGUCCUGCGGCAGUUUCUACCCAAUGGUCUCU
Molecule: ribosomal RNA, 70 nt
Filed under: Azadinium spinosum
Lineage: Eukaryota; Dinophyceae; Gonyaulacales; Amphidomataceae
Description: partial Bacterial large subunit ribosomal RNA
Source: RNAcentral